Sander lucioperca (pikeperch) is the source of this 197-nucleotide long non-coding RNA. RefSeq lists it as uncharacterized. The transcript has 3 exons. Lineage: Eukaryota; Metazoa; Chordata; Actinopteri; Perciformes; Percidae. The record is from RefSeq and is a predicted model, not a curated record.
GAAGGACUGAUUGUAAUCAGGAGGUAACUGCACACAGGUGGCUGACUCUGGAACUCUCACACUGGUUUUUGACCAUGCAGUAAUGACAACAAGGCGAGGUCACCUGCUGAAAGCGGAUGUCCAUGUCGAAGUUUUACUGGCAGCUCUCCAUCUCUUUGUCUCCUUCCUUCUCUGAGCUGCACAUGACAACCAGAAAG